GAUCAUGACCUGAACCGAAACCAAAAGUUGGACACUUAACUGACUGAGCCAUCAGGGUGCUCCACAUAUAUUUGUUGAUAAGUAAAAAACUCACGUUACCAUCUCUGUAUAAAAUGGUCUCCUAUCUUGUUUAGAAAUAGGUAUAUAAGUUUAAAAUCCAGAUGGCCAUAAAGCUAAAUGUUAACAGUAGUUACUUCAGAGGGUAUUAUAGUUAUAUAUUUCUUUUUUGCUUAUAUUCAUUUUAUGGCUCAUUUACAACUGACCUGUAUUAGUUAGCUAAUCAAAGGUGGUAAUAUAGUUAUUGUUUUGGAAGAGCAUUUUUUUCUUUAAAUGUUGAAUAUUUCUCUUCCAAGGCUACAUUCCUAAAAGAAAAAAAACAUUUUAGCAUCUUGUGUGCAGCUUUUUCACUAUGCUGAGUACAUUAUAUUGAAACUUUCUAUUAAGUGUCUUUCUCCUCCAAGACUGUGAACACGGAUGACAAAGACUGAGUCUCUAGCGUCCUUGUAUGUAGGCCUAGCAUGGAGCUUGGCACUCAGCGUGCAGUUAACACAAGUGUUUUAAAUGGAUAAACGAAUAGAUGACUGUCUACAGACUUUUUUUAUCCAUGAGUGGUUUAAAGUUCUUAGCAUGCUGGAAUUGAUUGCAAUUGCAUAUAAGUAGUGUGCCUGAUGAGAGAACUAUGGAGGGCAAAGUUCUGUCUGACAUGUUGGUUUAGAGGCAGUUUCUACUCUGGUAAUAAAUUGUUCUGUGAGGUGUGGGCUAGGGUUGAAUGUGUGUAAGGAGGUCAGGCUGUAGAGGCCUCUAAAGGCUCAGAGGAAGUGUGCUUCCCAGGAGCAACCACCCUCUACUCCCAUGAGGAAUCCUAGGCUAUUGUGCCCAAGUGGGAGUUAAUAGGCAGUGGAAACUGGGUUUCCAGGUCCUGGUUUGUUUGUUUUAUUAUACUAGUUGUAACUUUAGGUUUUAUCUCAUUAGGCAACAGAGUUUUGAGAGAUUUGAAGUAUUGCUAACUAGUGCUUACUCUGUUUCAGCAUUAUGCUAAGAAGCAUUUGCAAACAUUCUUUCAUCCAGUCGUAUUGCUUCCUUAUGAGGGAGGUACCCACUCUACAGAGUAAGAGACUGAAACUGCAAAAGGUUAAGCUACUUGUCUUUUCAGAUACGAAGUUCAGACGCAAAGAGGUAGAGCUGGACUCCAGACAUGGGGCCCUGAACCCAGAGCCAGGCCCUCCUGCCAUGUUAUAAAGAAGCUGGAGGAUUGGGAUUUUCUCUUGCUCUAACACACUUCAGUGUGACUCUGACUGUGGAGAUGUCCCUGGGCCUUUUUGAAUGCCUCCAGUUCUCCUUGUUAGAUUCUAUUUGAGAAUGGGUCUCCACUUUCUGUGGGUCAGGUAAUUUCUUUCUUGCUCUUGGGUCUAAGUGAAGUCACCAGAAAACUUAUUUUAUAGCAAAAAAAUGUUAGGAGAAUAAAAAAUAUUUUUAAUAAAGUAAUUCAUGUAAUAACAUGCGAUAAAGUUCAAGAAGGUAGUUUGCAUACUUAAAGGUAAACCCUAGCUUUAAUUUGGCUUAUAAUUUAAUUAUAAAUUAAUUUUAAUUCAUAAAGUCAUGAGAGAAUUCAUGGAAGAUUCAUUGAAUAUAUAUGGUUUGUUUCUUGAGAUAUCCCAUUUUCUGUAUUUCUAAAUGUUGACAGUAUACAAAAAUAAGUUAUAAUCUGUAAAAUUGAGGAAAUAUUUCCGGUAUGGAGUAGUAUAGUAAUGAAAUAUGAACAUUUGUUUAGAAAUCUUCUUGACUGCUGUACAGUUGGAAUUUGCAUAGUAAUAUGGAAGGAUCUUGAAAAACAUCUGGGGAAGGGUCAUGAUUUGGUCCAAAUUAUAUAUCCAAGAGGUUUCAAAAUCAUAAAAUGAUAUAAAAGUACUCUGGAUUUUUCUUACUACCCCAGCCCCAAAUGGGUUGUAUCUUAAUUGUAACAGUUUGUGACUUACUUUUAUUUGUGUGAUUAUCUGAUCGAUAUGUGUCUCUGCCACUAGCCUUUGAGCUUCAUGGGAGCAGGAUAGCCACAUCUGUCUUGCUUGUCAUUGUAGAUACUUAGCACAUAAUAGCAUGGUGUAGCAUGUAGUGAUAAUGGCAACAACAACAAUGAAUGAGAAUGAUAGCUGAUACUUACAGAGCCCUUACUGUGGUCUAGGUAGUGUUCUAGGUGCUUAAUACUAACUCAUGUAUUGGAACUUCUGGCAAACAUUGGUUGAAUGAUUUUGAUAUAAAUGGAAAAGAACUUUGAGUUUAUACAUCUGGGAACUAUUUAGUGUUGUGGAGGUUUGGGAGACUGUCUUUCACAAUGAGAACUGGAGGACCUUGGACUCAACGUGAUUCAGCAGAAUGUAGCUUUUUUUUUUUUCAUUCCUGACAAAUAUUUAAGUUUUCAUGUUUUCACAUUCUUUUUUAUUUGCUAUUUUAAUAUCCCCAUAGCAGAUAUUUAAGAUACAAGAGAAAGGCUAGACACCAUGUAACUACUUAAGGAAAUAGAAUGGCAAUAUGAUUAAAAUUGGGCUUUAAUUUUAAUGAAGUCUUUGACUAGCAACUAUGAACAUCAAUAGUGGGAGGGGAGGAUCGUCUUUCCAGAAAGUUUCAAGCUGACAUCUGUGUUGCUACUGCAGUAACCUCCACUUAAUUUAUUGUCAUUUACUGCAAAAAUUGAUGAGAACAUAACCUUUGUAAGGUUUUUAUGUUUUAUUGGCUAUAAAAGAUAAAAUAUGGAGUAAAAGGAAGUAAAAUAGUAUUUUGUUAGGUUGGGGGAUGGAUUUAUGUUUUAACUAACUGAUAGAAUAAUCAGAGGGUCAUAAAGAUCAGAGUCUCUGCCUCCUAUCUCUUCCCUUUUUUAUGUGUGCAUUCAACAAGCUUCUCUUUGUGGCUGUCAGGCUCAUGGGAGCUCACCCAAACACCAGGCCCCCUUUGUCCAAGGGCAUUAACUCAGCUGUGUAGAUGAAGAGUAUCACGGAGGCUUCUGUUGCAAACAUUAAGCAAUUGGGAUAAGUCUAAAUGAAUCAGAUACUUGACAUGUGCAAAUGGGAUAUUUGUUCACAGGGGACUCCGGGCUACAUUGUGUCUUGAAUGAACAGGCAAAAACAAAGUGUGUGAGUUAAAUUGAAUUUUGCAGGAAACACACAAAGAGAUCCGGAUCUUUGGGAAUUGCUGGUGAUUGUGGUUUAGGGGUGGAUGCUGGGAGGGCCCAACCCCAUCAAUUUCCCAAUAUACUCUCUCCUGCCAAAAUCAAACAAAAUACAACAAACAAACAAAAAAAGGAAGGAAGGAAGAAAAAAAAGAAAGAAAGAAAGAAGAAAAGAAAAGAAAAGAAAAGAAAAGAAAAGAAAAGAAAAGAAAAGAAAAGAAAAGAAAAAGAAUAGAAAAGAAAAAAGAUAGCAAACAAAUUUCAAAGUGAUUCUAUUUUGUUGUCUAGGACAGUAGUUCUCAAACUGUAGCCCACACAUCAGAAUCACCUGGAGCACUUGUUAAAACCCAGAUUUCUGGAUGCCACACCCAGAGUUUCUCACUGAGGAGGUCUGGAGUGGGGCUUGAGAAUUUGCAUCUCUAACAAGCUCCCAGGUGAUGCUGAUAAUGCUUAAAGACCACAUUUAAGAACCACUGCUUUAGGCACUCAGUUGUCUAUGCUGUAGCUAGGUGGAUGUGCUUCAAGGAGCUGUAACAGUCCAAGGAAGAUAUUUUCUCACCUCAGAAGUGGAUGGCCAGGCCUUUGCUGAAAAGGUUUCUCGUGGCUUAAUAGUUGAGCAGCUGACACCCAUGUAAUAGGAGGAGUGGACCAAAGAACAAUUCCUCUAUAUCCAGCUUUGAAGAAGCAAAAUUCCAUGGAGUCCUACAACUGCAAGCAUAUGACUUGUGCCAACAAGCUGACUUAGUCUGAAGGUGGAUCCUUUCCCACCUGAGCUUCCAGAUGAGAAUCCAGCCUAUGAUCAUAGCCUUGCCGGGGACCUAGCUAAGCUGUGCCUAGAUUCCUGACUCAAAGAAUCUGUGAGAUGAUAAGAUAUACACCCAGAAGUCAACUGGAAGAUGCCGUAGUAUGCUAACUUCCCUGGAUUAGCUGACAUAGAUACUGAAUGUUGACUUGUCCCAAGGAAGAAAAAGAAUAAAGAAUAGAUAUAAAGUCUA
Molecule: long non-coding RNA, 4155 nt
Organism: Felis catus (domestic cat)
Lineage: Eukaryota; Metazoa; Chordata; Mammalia; Carnivora; Felidae
Exons: 4
Source: RefSeq, a predicted model, not a curated record